RNAcentral lists this ribosomal RNA (460 nucleotides) under uncultured bacterium. RNAcentral describes it as "partial 16S ribosomal RNA". It matches the Rfam family "Bacterial small subunit ribosomal RNA", at positions 338 to 795 of the family's 1533-position model. The record is from RNAcentral.
CCUACGGGUGGCAGCAGUGAGGAAUAUUGGUCAAUGGGCGGAAGCCUGAACCAGCCAAGUCGCGUGAGGGAUUAAGGCCCUGCGGGUCGUAAACCUCUUUUGCCGGGGAGCAGUGGUCCGGACGAGUCCGGGCCGGGAGAGUACCCGGAGAAAAAGCAUCGGCUAACUCCGUGCCAGCAGCCGCGGUAAUACGGAGGAUGCGAGCGUUAUCCGGAUUUAUUGGGUUUAACGGGUGCGUGGGCGGGCAUUUAAGCCGGCGGUCAAAUGUCGGGGCUCAAACCCGGCCUGCCGUCGGAACUGGGUGCCUUGAGUGGGCGAGAAGUAUGCGGAAUGCGUGGUGUAGCGGUGAAAUGCAUAGAUAUCACGCAGAACCCCGAUUGCGAAGGCAGCAUACCGGCGCCCGACUGACGCUGAGGCACGAAAGUGCGGGUAUCGAACAGGAUUAGAUACCCUUGUAGUC